RNAcentral lists this ribosomal RNA (415 nucleotides) under Echinodera major. RNAcentral describes it as "eukaryotic LSU rRNA". It matches the Rfam family "Eukaryotic large subunit ribosomal RNA", at positions 1340 to 1663 of the family's 3401-position model. Lineage: Eukaryota; Metazoa; Arthropoda; Insecta; Coleoptera; Curculionidae. The record is from RNAcentral.
GCUUAUACUCGACCGUCAGCGGCACGUGCGAUCGCGCGAGCUUUCGAGUAUGCGCGCGGUCACGAAGCCCUGACGAGUAGGAGGGUCGCGGCGGUGAGCGCAGAAGGGCUGGCCGCGAGGCCGUCUGGAGCCGCCGUCGGUGCAGAUCUUGGUGGUAGUAGCAAAUACUCCAGCGAGGCCCUGGAGGACUGACGUGGAGAAGGGUUUCGUGUGAACAGCCGUUGCACACGAGUCAGUCGAUCCUAAGCCCUAGGCGAAAGCCGAUGUCGAUGCGGUGUAGUUUUUACGAUAACACGACGACGAAACAAGCUUUAAUUCGUCUCGAUAUAAUAACGCGAGAGCACACACCCGUCGGGCGAAAGGGAAUCCGGUUCCUAUUCCGGAACCUGGCAGCGGAACCGUAAAAAAGUCGGGC